This 305-nucleotide ribosomal RNA is filed under the name uncultured bacterium. RNAcentral describes it as "bacterial SSU rRNA". It matches the Rfam family "Bacterial small subunit ribosomal RNA", at positions 334 to 633 of the family's 1533-position model. The record is from RNAcentral.
GAGCCUAUGGGACGCAGCAGUAGGGAAUUUUCGUCAAUGGGUGCAAGCCUGAACGAGCAAUGCCGCGUGAACGAGGAAGGUCUUCGGAUCGUAAAGUUCUGUUGAAGGGGAAAAAGAGCGGAGAGAGGAAAUGAACUCCGAUUGAUAUUACCCUUCGAGGAAGUCACGGCUAACUACGUGCCAGCAGCCGCGGUAAUACGUAGGUGGCGAGCGUUAUCCGGAAUGAUUGGGCGUAAAGGGGGCGUAGGCGGCCUGCUAAGUCUGGAGUGAAAGGUACCGGCUCAACCGGUACAGGCUCUGGAAAC